GAACGCUAGCUACAGGCUUAACACAUGCAAGUCGAGGGGCAGCAUGGUCUUAGCUUGCUAAGACUGAUGGCGACCGGCGCACGGGUGAGUAACACGUAUCCAACCUGCCGUCUACUCUUGGACAGCCUUCUGAAAGGAAGAUUAAUACAAGAUGGCAUCAUGAGUCCGCAUGUUCACAUGAUUAAAGGUAUUCCGGUAGACGAUGGGGAUGCGUUCCAUUAGAUAGUAGGCGGGGUAACGGCCCACCUAGUCUUCGAUGGAUAGGGGUUCUGAGAGGAAGGUCCCCCACAUUGGAACUGAGACACGGUCCAAACUCCUACGGGAGGCAGCAGUGAGGAGUAUUGGUCAAUGGGCGAGAGCCUGAACCAGCCAAGUAGCGUGAAGGAUGACUGCCCUAUGGGUUGUAAACUUCUUUUAUAAAGGAAUAAAGUCGGGUAUGUAUACCCGUUUGCAUGUACUUUAUGAAUAAGGAUCGGCUAACUCCGUGCCAGCAGCCGCGGUAAUACGGAGGAUCCGAGCGUUAUCCGGAUUUAUUGGGUUUAAAGGGAGCGUAGAUGGAUGUUUAAGUCAGUUGUGAAAGUUUGCGGCUCAACCGUAAAAUUGCAGUUGAUACUGGAUAUCUUGAGUGCAGUUGAGGCAGGCGGAAUUCGUGGUGUAGCGGUGAAAUGCUUAGAUAUCACGAAGAACUCCGAUUGCGAAGGCAGCCUGCUAAGCUGCAACUGACAUUGAGGCUCG
Molecule: ribosomal RNA, 735 nt
Filed under: uncultured Bacteroidales bacterium
Lineage: Bacteria; Pseudomonadati; Bacteroidota; Bacteroidia; Bacteroidales
Description: bacterial SSU rRNA
Rfam family: Bacterial small subunit ribosomal RNA
Source: RNAcentral